Small nuclear RNA from Oryctolagus cuniculus (rabbit), 106 nucleotides. The record is from Ensembl. Lineage: Eukaryota; Metazoa; Chordata; Mammalia; Lagomorpha; Leporidae.
GUGCUCACUUCGACAGCACAUAGACUAACACUGGAAUGAGACACAGAAGAUUAGCAUGGUUGCUGCACAGGAUGACAUGCAAAUUCGUGCGUUGUUCCAUUAAAAA